AAACAGCCCCCUAUGUAUUGGAUCUUUGGCAGUUUUGGCCCCCAAGAUCACUUUUGACUUAGUCUUCGCUGACGUGGCACCCACAAUGGUCGACACGUGGCACCUCACUUAAGGGAUAUGGGUGCCACGUCACCGAAGACUAAGUCAAAAGUGGCCUUAGGGGCCAAAACUGCCAAAGAUCCAAUACAUAGGGGGCUGUUU
Molecule: microRNA precursor, 201 nt
Organism: Medicago truncatula (barrel medic)
Lineage: Eukaryota; Viridiplantae; Streptophyta; Magnoliopsida; Fabales; Fabaceae
Rfam family: MIR2619 microRNA precursor family
Source: Rfam